RNAcentral lists this ribosomal RNA (408 nucleotides) under Aculops sp. NJAUAcariEriS91.2. Its description in RNAcentral is "partial 16S ribosomal RNA". It matches the Rfam family "Archaeal large subunit ribosomal RNA", at positions 1931 to 2668 of the family's 2987-position model. The record is from RNAcentral. Lineage: Eukaryota; Metazoa; Arthropoda; Arachnida; Trombidiformes; Eriophyidae.
AGCCCCCAUAAUUGGGGGUAAUUUCUGCUAAUUGCUUUGUAAAAAGCCGCUAUGCGCUAAGGUAGCGUAAUCAAAAGUUUGUUAAUUGCAAACCAGUAUGAAAGAAAGAUUAUAAGAAUACUAUCCUAUUUAAAAUUAAAAAUUAACAGAUAUAAAAAGAAAAUCUGGAUAUGUAAGACGAGAAGACCCUAUAAGCUAACCUAUAAAAAGGUUUUUUGGGGCAAAUGAUUAAUAAAUAAUUUAAUAAAAAAUAUAAAAAUAACUUAAAAAUAAGCUACUUUAGGGAUAACAGAGCAAUGAGGGAGUAAAGACCUUAUAAACCCCCUAGAUUGUGACCUCGAUGUUGGAUUCUUCUCACUAAAACCCGCAACCGGGUUUAAAGUUAAACUGUUCGUUUAAUAAAAGAAG